Long non-coding RNA from Ailuropoda melanoleuca (giant panda), 780 nucleotides. RefSeq lists it as uncharacterized. The transcript is spliced from 3 exons. The record is from RefSeq and is a predicted model, not a curated record. Lineage: Eukaryota; Metazoa; Chordata; Mammalia; Carnivora; Ursidae.
UAUGUUUCCAGCAAUGGUUAGAAUAAUCACCACAGCUGUCAACAAAGCAGACCAGUUUUUUUCCUGGAGAUGAAGUAAGGAGAAGCAUGGUGGUGAGAGACAGCCCUCACAGGAAAGGGCAGCCAGAGCACGACUGGUUUGUUGGGAGGAUAUAAAGGUCCGCCUUCCUUGCCUCAAGGCUGGAUGAUGUGGAAGGGCCAUCCUGUUACCAGAGUUUCCAUGGGAUCUGCCCAGGUCUUCGUUGAGACUGCAUCACAGUUCAUCUCCUCCCUCUGCCUAGUCCUGCCUUCCUCGCUCCCCUGCAGAAACUUUUUACUGCUUUUGUGUUUCCUGUUGGGCUGGCUGAGAAAAGGGGCCACUCAAAAUGGCGGACACCCAAGAUGGCCGAGUCUCCCGCCAGAACUUCUGCAGCAGCCACGUCAACCCCAGUAAUCCGAAACGUAAGCGGGAAACUGAAACCCAUCCUACUGACUUUCCUCACCCCCGAGCAGUACCCAAUAAAACCCUGCCACGACUCUCCAAGAAAGACUUUCCCCACCCCCAGCGGUGCCCAAUAAAAACCCUCGCUGCCCUGCCCUGGGCAUGACGUCCCCGACUCCCCCCUCCGGAGUCGCGGCACCUCACCCGAGGGUGCACACAAUAAAGUUCCUCCUAAAGGACACCCUCGCUGCCCUGCCCUGGGCGCGACUUCCCUGACUCAACGCUCUUUCCCGAGUCGCGGAACCUCGCCCAAGGGUGCUUGUAAUAAAGCUCAUCCUCUGGACCACGUUUGCCUUUGCG